CCUACGGGGGGCAGCAGUGGGGGAUAUUGCACAAUGGGGGAAACCCUGAUGCAGCGACGCCGCGUGUGGGAAGACGGUCCUCUGGAUUGUAAACCACUGUCCCCAGGGACGAAGAUGACGGUACCUGGGGAGGAAGCUCCGGCUAACUACGUGCCAGCAGCCGCGGUAAGACGUAGGGAGCGAGCGUUGUCCGGAAGUACUGGGUGUAAGGGGAGCGUAGGCGGGACUGAAAGUUGGGUGUCAAGUCUACCGGCUCAACCGGUAGCCGCACUCAAAACUGCAGUUCUUGAGUGAAGUAGAGGCAGGCGGAAUUCCUAGUGUAGCGGUGAAAUGCGUAGAUAUUAGGAGGAACACCAGUGGCGAAGGCGGCCUGCUGGGCUUUUACUGACGCUGAGGCUCGAAAGUGUGGGGAGCAAACAGGAUUAGAUACCCUAGUAGUC
Molecule: ribosomal RNA, 440 nt
Filed under: uncultured bacterium
Lineage: Bacteria
Description: partial 16S ribosomal RNA
Rfam family: Bacterial small subunit ribosomal RNA
Source: RNAcentral